Small nucleolar RNA from Molossus molossus (Pallas's mastiff bat), 127 nucleotides. RefSeq annotates it as small nucleolar RNA SNORA25. The transcript has a single exon. The record is from RefSeq and is a predicted model, not a curated record. Lineage: Eukaryota; Metazoa; Chordata; Mammalia; Chiroptera; Molossidae.
AGGUCAUUUCAAAGAGUGUUCAGGGGACCCAAACUAGGAGCUCUUAAUGCAGUGACCUAAGAUUUAAGUUCUCCAUAGGAUGUAACAGAUACUCAAUAGUGCUGUGUUUUCCUGAGGAAAUAGAAGA